Molecule: ribosomal RNA, 592 nt
Filed under: uncultured Wilcoxina
Lineage: Eukaryota; Fungi; Ascomycota; Pezizomycetes; Pezizales; Pyronemataceae
Description: eukaryotic LSU rRNA
Rfam family: 5.8S ribosomal RNA (bases 236-389)
Source: RNAcentral
AAGUCGUAACAAGGUUUCCGUAGGUGAACCUGCGGAAGGAUCAUUAAAAGUAAAUGCGUAUACAUAUCAUGUAUCAACUGCAUAAACCCACUCCGAGUAUCUUGCCUGUUGCUUCCAUGGGGCGUGACAUUCGUCCCUCUCGUGAUCUUGAAUCCCAGGAGAGUCCCCAUGGGAGGUAAUCAUUAAAUCCAUGCUUCAAAUGUCUUCUGUCUGAACUGUUUAUAAUCAAUGCUAAAACUUUCAACAACGGAUCUCUUGGUUCUCGCAUCGAUGAAGAACGCAGCGAAAUGCGAUAAGUAGUGUGAAUUGCAGAAUUCAGUGAAUCAUCGAAUCUUUGAACGCACAUUGCGCCUCCUGGUAUUCCGGGAGGCAUGCCUGUUCGAGCGUCAUUAAAUACCUCUCAAGCAAAUUUGCUUGGUCGUGGAAGAUGAGUAUGCUUGCAUUCUCACUUCUGAAAUUCAAAGGCGGAUGAUCUCAUAUCCCCAGGUGUAGUAAGUUAAUCUUUUCGCUUGGUGCAUGCGAUUGUCCUGCCGUUGACCCCCAUGUUUUCAAGGUUGACCUCGGAUCAGGUAGGGAUACCCGCUGAACUUAA